CCUACGGGUGGCAGCAGUAGGGAAUCUUUCACAAUGGGCGAAAGCCUGAUGGAGCAACGCCGCGUGCAGGAUGAAGGCCUUCGGGUUGUAAACUUCUUUUAUAAGCGAGAAAUAUGAUGGUAACUUAUGAAUAAGGCUCGGCUAACUACGUGCCAGCAGCCGCGGUCAUACGUAGGAUCCGAGCAUUAUCCGGAGUGACUGGGUGUAAAGAGUUGCGUAGGUGGCAUAAUAAGUAGCUAGUGAAAUCUGGUGGCUCAACCAUUCAGACUAUUAGCUAAACUGUUAAGCUCGAGACCGUUAGGGGUAACUGGAAUUUCUAGUGUAGGAGUGAAAUCCGUAGAUAUUAGAAGGAACACCAAUAGCGUAGGCAGGUUGCUGGGACGGGUCUGACACUAAGGCACGAAAGCGUAGGGAGCAAACGGGAUUAGAUACCCCAGUAGUC
This 442-nucleotide ribosomal RNA is filed under the name uncultured bacterium. RNAcentral's name for it is "partial 16S ribosomal RNA". It matches the Rfam family "Bacterial small subunit ribosomal RNA", at positions 338 to 795 of the family's 1533-position model. The record is from RNAcentral.